CUACUUUACAUUGCUGUCAGACCUUUCCGACAGUUAACUGAAGCCAUUAUGUAGCUUUCUUCAAGGCCACCAGUCUCCGUUGACCUAAACAGUACUUUUACUCCAGCAGGACACAGGAGCCUCGAUCUGUUGGUUUGUUUGUGUUACUGAGUGACUUGGACAAAUGUAUCUCCCCCUGACUUCAGCACGUAAAACACUCCUGUUCCUCUUUCUAUGAAAUGACAGUGCACCAAUGCUUAUCUCAUUUAUACCAAAGAGAUUUCAGACAGAGACAGAGCAUCACUGUUCAUGCCAAGGGUUGAACCAGUGAGUGUUCAGAAUAACGCUAUUAAUUAUUCACUCACUGUCACAUUGGGACCCAGGAUGCCUUUCUCCACUCACUGUGGCCUGACACUUCUGUGUUUAUCCAUGCUGCCUCUCCUCCAUGCGCAAGAGUUUUCCCUUCAAACCAAGGGCUUUCCUGGACCUUCUCCCACCUGCUGUAUGGAAGCCUCAAAAAGCACCUUUAACGAACCUGUCAAAGCCUGCUUUGUACAAAAGAAGAAUACAUUUCAGGGUUGUGUACCUACUUAUGUCUUUCACACAAUGCGUAACAAUAAAUGGUGUGUGGACCCAGGAGCCUGGUGGAUCCCCCAAAGACUCAAGAAAUUAGAACAAAGAGGAAUACAUUGCCAUGUCCUCUGACGAGUGUUCAAGACAAUACACCACGACCAUCUACGAAACAAUCCUGACAUUCUCUCCUUCUUUUUUUCUGAUAAUGUAGAGCAAAUUAUCAACUUCCUCUUCUCAUAAGUAGAUCUACAUAUGACAAAAAUAUUGUUUCAUAUGGAUUUUUAUUGUCUUCUAAACUAAUAAAGAG
This is a long non-coding RNA of Acanthopagrus latus (yellowfin seabream), 859 nucleotides long. RefSeq lists it as uncharacterized. The record is from RefSeq and is a predicted model, not a curated record. Lineage: Eukaryota; Metazoa; Chordata; Actinopteri; Spariformes; Sparidae. The transcript has 4 exons.